CAUCGCCGCGGUAACACGGAGGGUGCAAGCGUUAAUCGGAAUUACUGGGCGUAAAGCGUGCGCAGGCGGUUCGUUAAGUCUGUUGUGAAAGCCCCGGGCUCAACCCGGAAAUUGCUCUGCAUACUGGCAGACUUGAGGGUGGCAGAGGUUUGUGGAAUUCCUGGUGUAGCGGUGAAAUGCGUAGAUAUCAGGAGGAACACCCAUGGCGAAGGCAGCAAACUGGGCCACAUCUGACGCUGAGGCACGAAAGCGUGGGGAGCAAACAGGAUUAGAUACCCCCGUAGUCCCUGUCUCUUAUACA
Molecule: ribosomal RNA, 301 nt
Filed under: uncultured bacterium
Lineage: Bacteria
Description: partial 16S ribosomal RNA
Rfam family: Bacterial small subunit ribosomal RNA
Source: RNAcentral